Molecule: ribosomal RNA, 460 nt
Filed under: uncultured bacterium
Lineage: Bacteria
Description: partial 16S ribosomal RNA
Rfam family: Bacterial small subunit ribosomal RNA
Source: RNAcentral
CCUACGGGGGGCAGCAGUGAGGAAUAUUGGUCAAUGGACGAGAGUCUGAACCAGCCAAGUAGCGUGAAGGAUGACUGCCCUAUGGGUUGUAAACUUCUUUUAUAUGGGAAUAAAACGUUCCACGUGUGGGAUUUUGUAUGUACCCUAUGAAUAAGGAUCGGCUAACUCCGUGCCAGCAGCCGAGGUAAUACGGAGGAUCCGAGCGUUAUACGGCAUUUUUGGGUUUUAAGGGAGCGUAGGUGGAUUGUUAAGUGAGUUGGGAAAGUGUGCGGCUCAACCGUAAAAUUGCAGUUGAAACUGGCGGUCUUGAGUACAGUAGAGGUGGGCGGAAUUCGUGGUGUAGCGGUGAAAUGCUUAGAUAUCACGAAGAACUCCGAUUGCGAAGGCAGCUCACUGGACUGCAACUGACACUGAGGCUCGAAAGUGUGGGUAUCAAACAGGAUUAGAUACCCCAGUAGUC